CUUUUUAAGGCUACGUAAAAAAAAAAAAAAAAAAAAAAGCCAUACAAAAUCGAGUCUUUUACACAAGCAGUCCCCCCCCCGGUGAAGCCUUUUUUUUUUUUUUUUUUUUUGGAAGGCAAACAAAAUGGUCCAUGAAUACUGAACUCCAACUGCUCAGCCGGGAUUGGUGAGUGAAAAGAGGCAGAGGGGUAGGGGGAAGGAAUGAAUGUGCGGCGGCGCUGGUUUAGAUUUCAGCGUGCCAAAGCCAAGCUUUCAGAAACGCAUUCCAGAGAUCCAUCUUUCUCGGGCUGUGACACAACAUUCCCUGUGCCUAAUUGGAAGACGGUUAGAUUUAAUCAAGAUUCCCCCAGAAUAGUACGCCAACUUAGAUCUGGGACAUUAACGUUCAUAAAAAUAGCUCCGCUCCCUGUUUGUUCAAACACAUUUCUUGUUAGCAGUUGCUUAAUUGUGCUAGGCAUGAUUCUAAGCAUUGAUUUGCCAAGGUGGGGACAGCUAGUAUUUUCUAAAUCUACACUAGUCUGCUAUGAUCUCCUUUCUCAUCCAAACGCUGUGCUGGUGGAAACAGUUUUAACUGCCAUUCCCCGCAAAAAAUGAAGCUGCAGACACACACAGAAGACAUGUCAGUCUGCGAUUGUUGUUUGGAAAAGGGUGCAUACUUCUGGGUGAGCAGAUCGGGGGAGAAAACAGAGAAUAUAAGGCCCAUAAUGAUGCGACUGGAAUAAAAAUCCACAGUCAUGCUUUUCUGCCUUCAUUUUGAAGCAGCCAAGCUGCCAGGAAGGCAGGCCGCUGUAAAAUUCCACAGGCAGCCCUGAACAGGCAGAAACUAGGUCAGCACUGUUAUUGCAGAGGAGAGAGGAGAGAGAGAGCGAGAGAGAGAGAGAGAGAGAGAAAGAGAGAGAGAAAGCGAGCGCCGAGGGAGAGACAGGGUGAGGAUGAGGGAGAGCGCAAUGGUGACAGAAAGAGAAGGAGCCGAGGGUUAGCGAGAGAACAGGAGACCCGGGGCUCUGAAACAGGAACAGUCAGACUCGGCGCUCGCCGUCAGACAGACAGGAGCCCAGGCGAAUGCUACACAUGCUCCCUACAUGCACAGAAACUUACACAAGUAUUUAUGUGCCUUGAACUUUGCUACGUGCUCUCAGACAAACUCCACUGCUAGUUUUUGUGGGAUAGAACAAAACAGAGAAUCACAGUGACGUGGAUAUAUGUAUUUUUGUUUUUCCUAAUAAAACUCUUUGCCACUUCUAUCUGUUAAAUCUGAAAAGCGUGGCGUCAAUUCGUAUUCAGUUUUCUGAGUCAUUGCACGUACGUCGUGCUGUUGUGACCGUUGCAAGCAUUUGGGGGGGAGGGGGGAGGGGUGUGUCUCUGCCAGCUCUGGACAUCUAGACUCUGAUAACGUUGCUCCUUCCACUUUGCAGAACAGCUUAAGGUCAGUCCGAUUGGAUGAACGGAUUCUGCGUUAGAGACACAAUCAGUGCAAAUCAGAGGAAGGCCAGAGGUUCCCCACUGUGCAAACAACAAAACCAGGACUUUGACGCAAACAAUCAUCUGGUUCUGAUCUGCGGAUUUUCUCUGGAACCUUUGGAGAUUAUUCUGCAAAGCAGGAAAAACAUCGCAGAGAAGACAAGAGAGUCUUCAGUCAGAGGAGUGUUCAUCACCGCUGUAACACUGACUGCUACAGGAGAACGUUAGAUAAUAUAAAUUGCAAUGUAAUUUAACAUUUCUCUGGGAUCUAUAAAGUAUUUUUGACCUCCAAGAACGAGCCUGGAUGAACGGACAUCGACAACAACUGGAUGUUCAAACAUUCCAACUCAUUAUUUUACUUUCGUUUCACACUUUAAAUGAUCUUGAAUUCAUACUGUCCUAAAUAAAAACAACAAUACGCAGUUUAACGUAUUUUACAUACAAAGACAGACACUAAAAAAUGCCCGUUUUCCAGCGUGAUUCACACUGCGACUCUCUUCUGCAGGGCACAUGGCAGCAGUAGGUGGACGUCAGCCUGAGCCGUGUCAUUUAGAGAGACGGACUUGCAGACGAGCUAAAAGUCACCAGAGCCAGAAUGGGGAAGCAUCAAAUGGUCCAGGCGCAGAUCUGGAUGGAGACGAAGGAGGGGCGGCUCAGCGGGGCUAUGACCAGGCGUUAGCAAGCCGGCUGGAUUAACUGGAAUGCAACCAUUCGGAGGAUAACUUGGGCACAGGGCGGAACUUUGAAAGUCAGAGCCAGCAAGACUCAAGUUUCUGAUCAAGUCGGUGUGCAUGAUGCAGAAUCACCAGCGUCUCCACUGGGCCCAGGCUGAGACUCACUAGCGCACAAGCUGCUGCCUUAAAGCCUGGGGAAGUGACGCAGAAGGCAGCAGCUGAUGCCAUUUUACCGGAAUCCAGCAGAGGAAACACAAGUUCCCAGUAAGACAGAGUAUCAUCAGAGCAGGGGAAGUUCAAACCUCGACCUUUCAGCUGCUAACCACAGCCCAUGGCUGAGAGUUAAGAGAAGAUCUUGGAAGACAGAUAAAGUUUCCAGAGCGCACAGCAAAGACGUCAAUCAGGCCAGAUUCGGCCUUCACAUCAGAGCCCGCGAAGCAAGCAUGCUGCUGGAGCUUCCAGUCCCCCCGGGAAGAUCGGAUGUGGGAGGCCCACGAACGUAAGAAGGACAAAUAUCUGAAGUUGAGAUGUAGAGGAAGAGCGGCUGGCAGGCCCGCUAUGAGCAAACUGAGGAGGCCUGCAGGGGUUAUUUCAGGGCAAUCUGCGCACCGUCCGUUUAGGGUUGGUAGAAAUUAGAGCCACCAGAAACAUCAGUGAAGCUGCUAUAAAAGCCCCAAGACAGCUGUGGAUCAAGAAGGGAAGAUGGUAACCUGGGACUGAUAACCGGUCGAUUUAAGAUUGAUUGAUUUAAGACCCGGGUUCAUCACUGACGAUGAACCAUCAAGGUGUCUCAUAGAUCGAAGGUAAAUGUGCGUUUAUUCUCACAAGGCAGUAAGAAAUAACAGGAAAAUAGCUACUUGGAUACAGUAGUAAAUAUUUAAAGUUAAAUAACACUUACAAGGUGAAAAGCAACUAAUCAGAGUCAAGUAAGGCUGGUGAGGACAAUGUCCACCUGCCACUAAACAUUGAGGUGGAAGGGGAAAAGAUUAAGCUAACUGUAAAAGAAAGUAAACUUUUAGAAAUGUUAUAAGCAGCUAAAAUGUUCUGUGAAGGUAUAAUUUGCCACUGCCUUGUAUUUAUGUCAACUGUUUGAUGGAUAAAAUUGCUAAAAUAUUUUUUAUCAUUAAAAAAUUGAGGUAGGAGGGGGGGGGGAAUUAACUUGCUACAGAAUAAAAUUAGUGGUUAAAAGUGCUAAAAGAGAACAUUUC
Molecule: long non-coding RNA, 3343 nt
Organism: Poecilia latipinna (sailfin molly)
Lineage: Eukaryota; Metazoa; Chordata; Actinopteri; Cyprinodontiformes; Poeciliidae
Exons: 3
Source: RefSeq, a predicted model, not a curated record